Molecule: ribosomal RNA, 332 nt
Filed under: uncultured bacterium
Lineage: Bacteria
Description: bacterial SSU rRNA
Rfam family: Bacterial small subunit ribosomal RNA
Source: RNAcentral
UGCGUAGGCGGUUUGGUAAGUCUUGUGUGAAAUCUUCGGGCUCAACUCGAAGUCUGCACGAGAAACUGCCGGGCUUGAGUAUGGGAGAGGUGAGUGGAAUUUCCGGUGUAGCGGUGAAAUGCGUAGAUAUCGGAAGGAACACCUGUGGCGAAAGCGGCUCACUGGACCAUAACUGACGCUGAGGCACGAAAGCUAGGGGAGCAAACAGGAUUAGAUACCCUGGUAGUCCUAGCCCUAAACGAUGAUCGCUUGGUGUGACGGGUACCCAAUCCCGCCGUGCCGCAGCUAACGCGUUAAGCGAUCCGCCUGGGGAGUACGGUCGCAAGGCUGAA